This 642-nucleotide ribosomal RNA is filed under the name uncultured eukaryote. RNAcentral describes it as "bacterial SSU rRNA". It matches the Rfam family "Eukaryotic small subunit ribosomal RNA", at positions 4 to 565 of the family's 1831-position model. The record is from RNAcentral.
CUGGUUGAUCCUGCCAGUGGUCAUACGCUUGUCUCAAAGAUUAAGCCAUGCAUGUCUAAGAAUGAGCCACUUUAAUGGGCGAGUCUGCGAACGGCUCAGUACACCAGAGAUAAUUUCCUUGGUAGAAAAGUUGUCGAAAGAUAAAUAUGGAUAACCAAAGUAACUCUUUGGCUAAUACAUGCUAAUGAAAUGGCUCGCAAGAGUCGCUCUUUCUCGUUGUUAAUAUGGUGGUUGACGCCUGGGUUCCUGGCGUGAGGGAUUACCGAAAGGGUUGGUCAGAGGCCAGUUUGAUCGGUGCCCUUGCGUUCCCAGGUGUCACAGAGGAAUCUGAGAAAGUUUGCAUAUCGCAGUGCCUCACGGCGGCGAAGUAUCAAUUAAAGCUCUGCCUGAUCAGUGCGGUCGGUAAGGUAUUGGCCUACCGAGACCAUCACCAGUAACGGAGAAUUAGGGUUCGACUCCGGAGAGGAAGCCUGAGAGAUGGCUGCCACAUCCAAGGACGGCAGCAGGCGCGCAAAUUACCCAAUCCUAAAACAGGGAGGUAGUGACAAGAAAUACCGGCUCUGGGAUCUAUUAGAUUUCAGGGACCUGGAAUGAGGACAAUUUAAACCUCUUACCUAGUAUCGAUUGGGGGGCAAGUCUGGU